RNAcentral lists this ribosomal RNA (492 nucleotides) under uncultured bacterium. RNAcentral's name for it is "partial 16S ribosomal RNA". It matches the Rfam family "Bacterial small subunit ribosomal RNA", at positions 29 to 507 of the family's 1533-position model. The record is from RNAcentral.
AGUGAACGCUGGCGGUAGGCCUAACACAUGCAAGUCGAACGGCAGCACAGUAAGAGCUUGCUCUUACGGGUGGCGAGUGGCGGACGGGUGAGGAAUACAUCGGAAUCUACUUUUUCGUGGGGGAUAACGUAGGGAAACUUACGCUAAUACCGCAUACGACCUACGGGUGAAAGCAGGGGAUCUUCGGACCUUGCGCGAUUGAAUGAGCCGAUGUCGGAUUAGCUAGUUGGCGGGGUAAAGGCCCACCAAGGCGACGAUCCGUAGCUGGUCUGAGAGGAUGAUCAGCCACACUGGAACUGAGACACGGUCCAGACUCCUACGGGAGGCAGCAGUGGGGAAUAUUGGACAAUGGGCGAAAGCCUGAUCCAGCCAUACCGUGUGGGUGAAGAAGGCCUUCGGGUUGUAAAGCCCUUUUGUUGGGAAAGAAAAGCAGCAGGUUAAUACCCCGCUGUUCUGACGGUACCCAAAGAAUAAGCACCGGCUAACUUCGUG